GAAUAUUGGACAAUGGGCGAAAGCCUGAUCCAGCCAUGCCGCGUGUGUGAAGAAGGUCUUCGGAUUGUAACGCACUUUAAGUUGGGAGGAAGGGCAGUAAGCGAAUACCUUGCUGUUUUGACGUUACCGACAGAAUAAGCACCGGCUAACUCUGUGCAAGCCGCCGCGGUAAUCCAGAGGGUGCAAGCGUUAAUCGGAAUUACUGGGAGUAAAGUGCGCGUAGGUGGGUCGUUAAGUGGGAUGUGAAAUCCCCGGGCUCAACCUGGGAACUGCAUCCAAAACUGGCGAGCUAGAGGAGGGCAGGGGGUGGUGGAAUUUCCUGUGUAGCGGUGAAAUGCGUAGAUAUAGGAAGGAACACCAGUGGCGAAGGCGACCACCUGGGCUCAUACUGACACUGAGGUGCGAAAGCGUGGGGAGCAAACA
Molecule: ribosomal RNA, 423 nt
Filed under: uncultured bacterium
Lineage: Bacteria
Description: partial 16S ribosomal RNA
Rfam family: Bacterial small subunit ribosomal RNA
Source: RNAcentral